UACUUUUGUAUAUUGGGUAGGGGAGCGUUCUGUAAGCGGUUGAAGGUGUGUGGUAACGCAUGCUGGACGUAUCAGAAGUGCGAAUGCUGACAUGAGUAACGAUAAAGGGGGUGAAAAACCUCCUCGCCGGAAGACCAAGGGUUCCUGUCCAACGUUAAUCGGGGCAGGGUAAGUCGACCCCUAAGGCGAGGCCGAAAGGCGUAGUCGAUGGGAAACGGGUUAAUAUUCCCGUACUUCUUACAAUUGCGAUGGGGGGACGGAGAAGGCUAGGUGGGCCUGGCGACGGUUGUCCAGGUUCAAGUGCGUAGGCUUAAGAGUUAGGUAAAUCCGGCUCU
Molecule: ribosomal RNA, 335 nt
Filed under: Vibrio parahaemolyticus
Lineage: Bacteria; Pseudomonadati; Pseudomonadota; Gammaproteobacteria; Vibrionales; Vibrionaceae
Description: partial 23S ribosomal RNA
Rfam family: Bacterial large subunit ribosomal RNA
Source: RNAcentral